This 341-nucleotide unclassified non-coding RNA is filed under the name Hevea brasiliensis (rubber tree). The record is from RNAcentral. Lineage: Eukaryota; Viridiplantae; Streptophyta; Magnoliopsida; Malpighiales; Euphorbiaceae.
AGGAAAGCUCAGGAGAGGCAGCCUACUCUUGGUGAGAUGACACUGGAGGAUUUUUUGGUUAAGGCUGGAGUGGUUGCUGAGUCGACUCCGGGGAAGAAAAGUUUGGGGUCAGUUUUAGGGGUUGAUUCAAUGGCAUUGCCUCAACAGCAAGCUCAAUGGUCACAAUAUCAGAUGCAGGCAAUGCAUCCGCUACCGCCACAACAACAUCAACAACAACAACAGAACAUGCUUCCAGUUUUUAUGCCCAGCCAUUCGGCUCAACAACCUUUGACUAUUGUUUCCAACCCAACAAUAGAUGCAGCUUAUCCUGAAUCUCAGAUGACAAUGUCCCCAACAGCUUU